GCAAAACGCGAAGAACCUUACCUAGGCUUGAACUCCUACGAAUCCGGGGUAAUGCCUGGAGUGUCCGCAAGGAAAUGUAGUGAGAGGUGCUGCAUGGCUGUCGUCAGCUCGUGUUGUGAAAUGUUGGGUUAAGUCUCGCAACGAGCGCAACCCCUAUCGUCUGUUGCCAGCAUUAAGUUGGGCACUCUGACGAGACUGCCUGGGUUAACCAGGAGGAAGGUAGGGAUGACGUCAAGUCCUCAUGGCCCUUAUGUCUAGGGCUACACACGUAAUACAAUGGCGCGUACAGAGGGAAGCGAACUCGCGAGGGGGAGCAAAUCUCAAAAAGCGCGUCUCAGUCCGGAUUGGAGUCUGCAACUCGACUCCAUGAAGUUGGAAUCGCUAGUAAUCGGAGAUCAGCACGCUCCGGUGAAUACGUUCCCGGGUCUUGUACACACCG
This 439-nucleotide ribosomal RNA is filed under the name uncultured bacterium. Its description in RNAcentral is "bacterial SSU rRNA". It matches the Rfam family "Bacterial small subunit ribosomal RNA", at positions 954 to 1392 of the family's 1533-position model. The record is from RNAcentral.